This 1542-nucleotide long non-coding RNA is filed under the name Prunus persica (peach). Its description in RNAcentral is "long non-coding RNA (PPER_LNC001357)". Lineage: Eukaryota; Viridiplantae; Streptophyta; Magnoliopsida; Rosales; Rosaceae. The record is from RNAcentral.
AAGUUCCAUCAUCCAUGCAUGCACAGGAUUCCAUGUAAAUGAAAUUAUCAAAUGACCCACUCACUCUACUUCUUCCCGACUGCACUGCGUCUUCCCAACCCUAAACAAACAAUUAUCAGGUAAUAAAUCUAAAAAGCUGCCCAUUCAAAACUUUUGUCUUGAGCUUGACUUUUGUUGAGGAUGAUGAGGAGCUUAUUUAGUGGGAAAAUUGCAACAACCUCCACCCUCCACCCACCAACUUCGUAUGCCGCAAACACGCCACGUUCACAUACACACACACACAGAGACAAAUAAACCCCAUCCAAUUCCACUUUUCUUUUCUUUUCUCUUCUCUUCUUUUUUGUUUCUCUCCUCCAUAUGAGAAUAAUAUGAAAAUUCCAAGAGCCUUGGAAACCGAGUUAGUGGAGUUAUUUGCAUUUCCCACAAACAUGCCCUUAACCAGCUUGGACCAAGAAUUUCAACUUCACUUUUACGAAAUUUAUAUAUAUCAAAAAAUAAAAAACUAAAAUGGGGGGCACUCAUGUUCAACCAAAAGCUACAAUCUCGUCUUUAUAUAUGACCCAUCAUGUCCCCUCAGCUCUAUACUCAUCAUACUCUUUCUAGUCCUCCUUUCUUGCUACCUACCCAGCACUUACCAUUUUUUCAUCUCAAUUAUAGCUUUAUCAUUGAUCAUUUUUCUAAGCAACAUCGACGACCAUGACCGCCAGCCACCGGUGGAGCUCUGUCUACUUGGGUGGUGGUGGUGGUUGGCGGACGCAGCAGCGCGGCGUACAAGGGCUCUGCUGUAAGUACGGGUGAAAAGUGAUGGCAAAGCAACACACCAAACAAGGCUUUGCAAUUGCGCUCUCCUGAAUUUCUAGCCCACACCACAAGGAGCAGAGUCGGGAGAGCGGCAUUAUUGCAUUGCGGGGAAUUGAGGGUAGCGGUCCGAAUUUACCUUAACCACAACGUAGGUCUUUUAAUAAUUUUCUUUUAUUACUUACCUUGGUGUUUGCUCUUAGUUGUCCUUUCGUUUUUGUUUUUGUCUUUGUUUUUGCAUGUUUAAUAUGUUAUGGAACAUGGGAUGUAAGGGAUGCAUACGAGGUAGCUAGUUUGUUUAGUUUGGUUUUUAGUUUGUUUGUAAUGCUGCUGGGCAUGCAUCACUUACACCUAUCAUGUAUUUAUUUGCUUUGUCACGAAUUAAUGGAAGAAAGAAAAGAAUGACUUUAGUUUCCUUCCUUCCUUCCUCUUUAAUUUUCUUUUUCCUUUUUGGGUUUUGGUGUGUCUUGGCUCUUCUAGCUAGCUAGAUGCUGAUUCAAAGUCAGAAUCUGAUUUUUGUGAAAGCUUGGCAGCUUGGAUUUUCCAUGCCUUUCUUUUUCUGCACUUUGGUACUUUAUCUCAUCUGAUUUCAAUCUUUAAUUACUUAAAGGAAGCAUGAAGUUCAUUUUUUUGCCAAAAAUUUAUACUAGUUAUGCAAAAGGGUUAUAAGGCUGUUCACCAAAUGAUAAUCCAUCGACGGCUACAAGAAUUGAUAGACAGAAGCGAAUUUUUGUCUCUUCCAAA